Molecule: ribosomal RNA, 465 nt
Filed under: uncultured Klebsiella sp.
Lineage: Bacteria; Pseudomonadati; Pseudomonadota; Gammaproteobacteria; Enterobacterales; Enterobacteriaceae
Description: bacterial SSU rRNA
Rfam family: Bacterial small subunit ribosomal RNA
Source: RNAcentral
CCUACGGGUGGCUGCAGUGGGGAAUAUUGCACAAUGGGCGCAAGCCUGAUGCAGCCAUGCCGCGUGUGUGAAGAAGGCCUUCGGGUUGUAAAGCACUUUCAGCGGGGAGGAAGGCGUUAAGGUUAAUAACCUUGUCGAUUGACGUUACCCGCAGAAGAAGCACCGGCUAACUCCGUGCCAGCAGCCGCGGUAAUACGGAGGGUGCAAGCGUUAAUCGGAAUUACUGGGCGUAAAGCGCACGCAGGCGGUCUGUCAAGUCGGAUGUGAAAUCCCCGGGCUCAACCUGGGAACUGCAUUCGAAACUGGCAGGCUAGAGUCUUGCAGAGGGGGGUAGAAUUCCAGGUGUAGCGGUGAAAUGCGUAGAGAUCUGGAGGAAUACCGGUGGCGAAGGCGGCCCCCUGGACAAAGACUGACGCUCAGGUGCGAAAGCGUGGGGAGCAAACAGGAUUAGAUACCCGUGUAGUC